This 378-nucleotide ribosomal RNA is filed under the name Triticum aestivum (bread wheat). Its description in RNAcentral is "partial small subunit ribosomal RNA". Lineage: Eukaryota; Viridiplantae; Streptophyta; Magnoliopsida; Poales; Poaceae. The record is from RNAcentral.
AGGAAGAAUUUCUACAUUGAGACUAGUAAGUGUGAAUUAUGUGAUGAUGAACCUAAUGAACAUUUAAUGCAUCUGUUUUUUAGCUGUGAUUUCAGUCAAAACUUUUGGAUGAACAUUGGCUACCAAUGGAACACUGAUCAUAGCCUCAUAGAAAUGCUCCUGGAGGGAAGGAAGCAAGAUACACAUGGAUGCUUUAAAGAAUGUCUGAUUGCUGGAUGCUGGAGUCUAUGGAAACACAGAAAUAGCAUAAUUUUUGACAACAAGGUCAAAAAUAUGACAUUCUGUAUUGCCACUUUCAAGGAGCACUUUUGCAUGAUUACAAAGAAGGCAAAACCAGGAUUGAAAGAGGGCAUGCAAAGCUGGCUAGAUCAUUUGUAG